GGAGAGUGGCGCACGGGUGAGUAGCGCGUGGGAACCUGCCCCUUUGUGGGGGAUAACCGAGGGAAACUUCGGCUAAUACCGCAUGCGCCCCGGUAGUGAUCUCGGGGGUAAAGAUUUAUCGCAGAGGGAGGGGCCCGCGUCGGAUUAGCUGGUUGGUGGGGUAACGGCCUACCAAGGCGAUGAUCCGUAGCUGGUCUGAGAGGAUGAUCAGCCACACUGGGACUGAGACACGGCCCAGACUCCUACGGGAGGCAGCAGUGGGGAAUAUUGGACUAUGGGCGCAAGCCUGAUCCAGCAAUGCCGCGUGAGUGAGGAAGGCCUUAGGGUUGUAUAGCUCUUUCGCGCGCGACGAUGAUGACGGUAGCGCGAGAAGAAGCCCCGGCUAACUUCCUGCCUGCAGCCGCGGUAAU
Molecule: ribosomal RNA, 410 nt
Filed under: uncultured bacterium
Lineage: Bacteria
Description: bacterial SSU rRNA
Rfam family: Bacterial small subunit ribosomal RNA
Source: RNAcentral